GAAAUGCGAUAAGUAGUGUGAAUUGCAGAAUUCAGUGAAUCAUCGAAUCUUUGAACGCAAAUUGCGCCCCUUGGUAUUCCAUGGGGCAUGCCUGUUCGAGCGUCAUCUACACCCUCAAGCUCUGCUUGGUGUUGGGCGUCUGUCCCGCCCCCGCGCGUGGACUCGCCCCAAAUCCAUUGGCAGCGUUCCUUGCCCCCUCUCGCGCAGCACAUUGCGCUUCUCGAGGGCGGCUCCGGGACGCGAUCCAGCAAGAUGACCACCGUCUUUGACCUCGGAUCAGGUAGGGAUACCCGCUGAACUUAAGC
RNAcentral lists this unclassified non-coding RNA (305 nucleotides) under plant metagenome. RNAcentral's name for it is "partial contains 5.8S ribosomal RNA, internal transcribed spacer 2, and large subunit ribosomal RNA". The stretch from base 1 to 105 matches the Rfam family "5.8S ribosomal RNA", at positions 50 to 154 of the family's 154-position model. The record is from RNAcentral.